UCAAAGACUUCAUUUACAGAGCUCUAGCAUCAAAAGCUUCAUUUACAAGAGCUCUAGCUUCAAAAGCUUCAUUUACAAGAGCUCUAGCUUCAAAAGACUUCAUUUACAGAGCUCUAGCUUCAAAGCUUCACUUGCAAAGCUUCACCUACAAAGCUUCACCUACAAAGCUUCAGUGCAGGGUAUACAAAUACCGCCUCCGAACAACCGCCACUUCGGCCCAUACAUGGAUUCAAUUUGAAGUCUCCAGCCAACAGACUCUAUUGACCGAAGACUUGGGGGACUACAUUAUGUACCAUAUAUUGGGCCUCAACUGGGCCUCAUGAAAAAUACUUGGGGGACUCUAGCCCAUUAUCUAUGUAUUAAGGAGCGAACCCUUAUUCUAUAAAAGGGACUCCCUCACUUUCAUUGAAAGAUCACCCAUGAUUUAUGUAUUGAGGAGCGAGCCCUUAUUCUAUAAAAGGGACUCCCUCACCACCAUUAGAGAGCAUCGCCGCCUACUGAGCAACUGUCUCACUGCGAGCAUCAACUCUAGCCCAUCACUUAUGUAUUGAGGAGAGAG
Molecule: long non-coding RNA, 559 nt
Filed under: Malus domestica (apple)
Lineage: Eukaryota; Viridiplantae; Streptophyta; Magnoliopsida; Rosales; Rosaceae
Description: long non-coding RNA (MDOM_LNC000739)
Source: RNAcentral